Molecule: ribosomal RNA, 468 nt
Filed under: uncultured bacterium
Lineage: Bacteria
Description: partial 16S ribosomal RNA
Rfam family: Bacterial small subunit ribosomal RNA
Source: RNAcentral
GACGAACGCUGGCGGCGUGCUUAACACAUGCAAGUCGAACGGAAAGGCCCUGCUUUUGUUGGGUGCUCGAGUGGCGAACGGGUGAGUAACACGUGAGUAACCUGCCCUUGACUUUGGGAUAACUUCAGGAAACUGGGGCUAAUACCGGAUAGGAGCUCCUGCUGCAUGGGGGGGGUUGGAAAGUUUCGGCGGUUGGGGAUGGACUCGCGGCUUCUCCGCUUGUUGGGGGGGUAGUGGCUUACCAAGGCUUUGAAGGGUAGCCGGCCUGAGAGGGUGACCGGCCACAUUGGGACUGAGAUACGGCCCAGACUCCUACGGGCGGCAGCAGUGGGGAAUAUUGCACAAUGGGCGGAAGCGUGAUGCAGCAACCUCGCGUGCGGGAUGACGGGCUUCGGGUUGUAAACCGCUUUCGCCUGUAACGAAGCGUGAGUGACGGUAAUGAGUAAAGAAGCACCGGCUAACUACGUG